UGGCAUUUAAUUGCGUAAGUGCAUGGUGAAACGUGCAUGAACUGGCGACGAGUUUCCUUUCUUCGUGUUGUGCAUUUUGAAACUGAGUCGAAGUCAAGUCCAAAAAUUUCAGGGACGCUCUUUGAACCUACGCCUAACUUUCAAGGAUAAACAGGUUUUCAUAGUGACUUCGAUCGACUUCGAUCGUCCCGACGAGAGACUGAUAAAACUCACCAAGGCACAUAUUUCGCUGCGUAGCUACUUCAGCAGACAUCAGUCGAUUGAGUCAAGUUAACUUGCUGUUUUACGAACCGUCAAUCCGUGCUUUCCAGCCGGAUGUUGAUGAUGAGAUGUGCGAUAUUUCAAAAUACACUGUCACAUGCUACCAGACUUACAUAUAUAACGGAUGAUUAACAAUUGCUUGUAUAUAUUAUUGUAUAUAUUAAUUUGAAACUAUAUAUUAUCCUACCUUGAUCUUCUUUACUAUAACGAUUCCCGUGCCCCUCUUGACAGUUGCAGUUUUUGAACAACAAGAUCUAUAGAUAUGUUUCUACGAACUUGCAUGAAGUUCUUUAUGAAAUCAUGAUGCAGUAUAUUAGUUAUAUUAGGAUUUCUGUAGUGAUAUUUUUGACCGGUAUUACAAGAAUCUGUAACAGGAAAAGUUGUUGAUGGACACAAUUAACGCGGAAAUGAAUAAUUCCUUUUUCCAUUACAAAUCACAUUUCACUUUUACAUUGCAUAUUUAACUUCCCCAGAAAUGGUUACAUAUAACUGAAUUCGAGCAGAAUAAUAAGUUUCUUCACAUCCACUGUUUAUAUUUUCCUGCAUGGAGUUCAUUAAUUCCUCACACUAUUGGGUGUAAUUUGAGACUGAAUUUAUACCCCAAGUUGGCACUUCAAAAAUUAUAAAUGUGUUUUUGUUACGCUAUGCAUGGUGUUGUAACUCUCAAGCACUUUUUUGUCAGCUUUUUUUCUAAUUUUAGGUCUCUUAAGGACUGUUAAAAUGCCAUUGAAAUAAGUUUCUUUGAUACGAGCGGCAUUUUCAAAGGUUUUUAGCACAUCGGUUACGGCUUCCCUAGGGUAUUUCAGUAUACCUAGCAGCUUGUAUUUCGGGUUUCUAAGUUUUUUUCCGACUUUAUUUAUAGUAUAAAAGCUAUCGAAUUGCAUUCGUAUACUUUUAACACGGACAUUGUUGCAGGAAUCAUACUUAUAGUGGGAGGAUUAUCGUUUCCGUAUUAUUAUAUAUUUUGGGCAGCAAGAUAUACGAGAUAGGAAGAUUACUUUACGUCAAGCCUGUUGGUAACUUUACCUUAAUGCCCGUUGGUAUAUAUAACUCAUGCCAAAAUGAUUAAGAGGUCAAAACUGUACAAAAUUUCAGCGAUAUUCGUUUGACAAUACAUUAAAGCCAAUAUACCGUAACAACUGUGUGUUUUAGGAACGGAUGUUAUUUUGAAAUACAAUGCUUAUGUCGUUGAUAAAUAUACACCUCAAAUAUGAACAAACAUUCACCUUUCGUCUCGCAUAAACUUUAUGGGUUAUUUUUACUAGUGCUUUAUAUAUAGAACAAGUAAAUAAACUAAAUAUAGGUUAUAGGUUAUAGGCGUAUAUUAUAUAUACUUGCACCUAAAAUACAAGGAGCAAAAAUAUUCAUCAAUUUUAAACCUCCAAAACAUCUAAUAAGGUGUAAAUGAUACAAAUACUGUAUCUUUUAUCUAAAGUAUUCACAAUAUCAAAAUAUCAGAAAAUUUAUCGAAGAAAAUUCAUCUUGGGAAAACAAGUUUUCGAUAAUUUAGAUAUCAUAUUACAUAACAAAAACAUGACGCUGCAAUCGGCCAUUUAAAAAGUGAAAGAGAGAUGGAAAAUCACAUUCAAUGGGAAAAUUUUUAUUCGCACAAAGGAACUGGUUUAACCAGUUCGACAGGUAUCGAGGUUGCAAUACGAUGAUGCAAUUGAAAUCAUGCAAGUAAACGUCAUUCUAACAUACAUUUCGAUAUUAAAUCAUACUCGUUACGCCAUAAAUAUAUUUAAAUAUUAAAUACUCUAUCAGGCUGCCUGGACGCCUCAUAUAAGGAAAUAAACCUA
Molecule: long non-coding RNA, 2060 nt
Organism: Dendronephthya gigantea
Lineage: Eukaryota; Metazoa; Cnidaria; Anthozoa; Malacalcyonacea; Nephtheidae
Exons: 5
Source: RefSeq, a predicted model, not a curated record